UAAACACAUGCAAGUCGAGCGGAUGACGGGAGCUUGCUCCUUGAUUCAGCGGCGGACGGGUGAGUAAUGCCUAGGAAUCUGCCUGGUAGUGGGGGACAACGUUUCGAAAGGAACGCUAAUACCGCAUACGUCCUACGGGAGAAAGCAGGGGACCUUCGGGCCUUGCGCUAUCAGAUGAGCCUAGGUCGGAUUAGCUAGUUGGUGAGGUAAUGGCUCACCAAGGCGACGAUCCGUAACUGGUCUGAGAGGAUGAUCAGUCACACUGGAACUGAGACACGGUCCAGACUCCUACGGGAGGCAGCAGUGGGGAAUAUUGGACAAUGGGCGAAAGCCUGAUCCAGCCAUGCCGCGUGUGUGAAGAAGGUCUUCGGAUUGUAAAGCACUUUAAGUUGGGAGGAAGGGCAGUAAGUUAAUACCUUGCUGUUUUGACGUUACCGACAGAAUAAGCACCGGCUAACUCUGUGCCAGCAGCCGCGGUAAUACAGAGGGUGCAAGCGUUAAUCGGAAUUACUGGGCGUAAAGCGCGCGUAGGUGGUUCGUUAAGUUGGAUGUGAAAGCCCCGGGCUCAACCUGGGAACUGCAUCCAAAACUGGCGAGCUAGAGUACGGUAGAGGGUGGUGGAAUUUCCUGUGUAGCGGUGAAAUGCGUAGAUAUAGGAAGGAACACCAGUGGCGAAGGCGACCACCUGGACUGAUACUGACACUGAGGUGCGAAAGCGUG
Molecule: ribosomal RNA, 720 nt
Filed under: Pseudomonas taiwanensis
Lineage: Bacteria; Pseudomonadati; Pseudomonadota; Gammaproteobacteria; Pseudomonadales; Pseudomonadaceae
Description: bacterial SSU rRNA
Rfam family: Bacterial small subunit ribosomal RNA
Source: RNAcentral